UGGCGAACGGGUGAGUAACGCGUGAGAAUUUGCCUUUAGGAAGAGGAUAACAGUUGGAAACAAUUGCUAAAACUCUAUAUGCCCUUACGGGUGAAAAAAGUAAUUUGCCUAAAGAGAAGCUCGCGUCUGAUUAGCUAGUUGGUGGGGUAAAGGCCUACCAAGGCGACGAUCAGUAGCUGGUCUGAGAGGACGAUCAGCCACACUGGAACUGAGACACGGUCCAGACUCCUACGGGAGGCAGCAGUGAGGAAUUUUCUGCAAUGGGCGAAAGCCUGACAGAGCAAUACCGCGUGAGGGAUGAAGGCCUACGGGUUGUAAACCUCUUUUCUCAAGGAGGAAGAUCUGACGUUACUUGAGGAAUAAGCAUCGGCUAACCCUGUGCCAGCAGCCGCGGUAAUACAGGGGAUGCAAGUGUUAUCCGGAAUUAUUGGGCGUAAAGCGUCUGCAGGUUGAUAUUUAAGUCUUUUGUUAAACCUUCGGGCUCAACCCGGAAUCUGCAAAGGAAACUAUAUAUCUUGAGUAUGGUAGGGGUAAAGGGAAUUUCCAGUGGAGCGGUGAAAUGCGUAGAUAUUGGAAAGAACACCAACAGCGAAGGCACUUUACUGGGCCAGUACUGACACUCAGAGACGAAAGCUAGGGGAGCAAACAGGAUUAGAUACCCUGGUAGUCCUAGCUGUAAACGAUGGAUACU
This 691-nucleotide ribosomal RNA is filed under the name uncultured bacterium. Its description in RNAcentral is "bacterial SSU rRNA". It matches the Rfam family "Bacterial small subunit ribosomal RNA", at positions 96 to 817 of the family's 1533-position model. The record is from RNAcentral.